This 548-nucleotide ribosomal RNA is filed under the name uncultured bacterium. Its description in RNAcentral is "partial 16S ribosomal RNA". It matches the Rfam family "Bacterial small subunit ribosomal RNA", at positions 355 to 895 of the family's 1533-position model. The record is from RNAcentral.
UGGGGAAUUUUGGACAAUGGGCGAAAGCCUGAUCCAGCAAUGCCGCGUGUGUGAAGAAGGCCUUCGGGUUGUAAAGCACUUUUGUCCGGAAAGAAAUCCUUGGCUCUAAUACAGUCGGGGGAUGACGGUACCGGAAGAAUAAGCACCGGCUAACUACGUGCCAGCAGCCGCGGUAAUACGUAGGGUGCAAGCGUUAAUCGGAAUUACUGGGCGUAAAGCGUGCGCAGGCGGUUUGCUAAGACCGAUGUGAAAUCCCCGGGCUCAACCUGGGAACUGCAUUGGUGACUGGCAGGCUAGAGUAUGGCAGAGGGGGGUAGAAUUCCACGUGUAGCAGUGAAAUGCGUAGAGAUGUGGAGGAAUACCGAUGGCGAAGGCAGCCCCCUGGACCAAUACUGACGCUCAUGCACGAAAGCGUGGGGGAGCAAACAGGAUUAGAUACCCUGGUAGUCCACGCCCUAAACGAUGUCAACUAGUUGUUGGGGAUUCAUUUCCUUAGUAACGUAGCUAACGCGUGAAGUUGACCGCCUGGGGAGUACGGUCGCAAGAUU